UUGCUGCAAGCUACCAUUUCAAUAAGUUAUUUACACGGGGGGUGGUGAGUCACCCUGGAACAGGUCGUCCACAGAAGCUGUGGCUGCCCCAUCCCUGCAAGCAUUCAAGGCCAGCUUGGGUAAAACCCAGAAGACCUGAGCAGAAUUACAUUGUUGUGAUUCCAGUUUGGUGACAUAGCCCUGAACAACAUGCUCUGGUGUGAGAUAGGUAUGGAAAAGAAGGCAAGACUAGACUACUGUGAAGCAGACAAGAGUUUUCCUAUUAACAGCAAUAGGAUAUUCAAUUAUUUGGAAAAAUAAAAGGCUUUACUCCAGAAUUGGGCUUGUGCACUCAGUACACACUGCAUUUUAUACUAUAAUACUAGAAUCCACAUUUGAACAGGUGCAUGGAAAACAAAGCAAGCCAAACAAGUUGUUCAGUGAGCAAUGAAACCAAUGAAUGUGGGUCUCCCAUACCUAUAAGGU
Molecule: long non-coding RNA, 465 nt
Organism: Vidua chalybeata
Lineage: Eukaryota; Metazoa; Chordata; Aves; Passeriformes; Viduidae
Exons: 5
Source: RefSeq, a predicted model, not a curated record